UAGGGAAUCUUCGGCAAUGGACGAAAGUCUGACCGAGCAACGCCGCGUGAGUGAAGAAGGUUUUCGGAUCGUAAAACUCUGUUGUUAGAGAAGAACAAGGACGUUAGUAACUGAACGUCCCCUGACGGUAUCUAACCAGAAAGCCACGGCUAACUACGUGCCAGCAGCCGCGGUAAUACGUAGGUGGCAAGCGUUGUCCGGAUUUAUUGGGCGUAAAGCGAGCGCAGGCGGUUUCUUAAGUCUGAUGUGAAAGCCCCCGGCUCAACCGGGGAGGGUCAUUGGAAACUGGGAGACUUGAGUGCAGAAGAGGGGGGUGGAAUUCCAUGUGUAGCGGGGAAAUGCGUAGAUAUAUGGAGGAACACCAGUGGCGAAGGCGGCUCUCUGGUCUGUAACUGACACUGAGGCUCGAAAGCGUGGGGAGCAAACAGG
This 429-nucleotide ribosomal RNA is filed under the name Gemmatimonadota bacterium. Its description in RNAcentral is "Gemmatimonadetes bacterium partial 16S ribosomal RNA". It matches the Rfam family "Bacterial small subunit ribosomal RNA", at positions 355 to 776 of the family's 1533-position model. The record is from RNAcentral. Lineage: Bacteria; Pseudomonadati; Gemmatimonadota.